This is a long non-coding RNA of Sebastes umbrosus (honeycomb rockfish), 587 nucleotides long. RefSeq lists it as uncharacterized. NCBI's taxonomy places the organism in Eukaryota, Metazoa, Chordata, Actinopteri, Perciformes, Sebastidae. The transcript has 4 exons. The record is from RefSeq and is a predicted model, not a curated record.
GUAAACAGUCUGGUCUAGUUUGGUGCUAGUAGAGCUAGAUUUAUGACUCGGCUCACGACUAAUAGUAGUACAACGAUUCUGUUAUUACCUCCUUCCUAGACCGAAGGAGGAUUACUCCAAAAGUCUGUGAUGGAUUUUUUGGAGGGGUGGGGUGUGGCACAAUGAACAAUCCAUUAGAUUUUGGUGGAGAUCAGGAUCAUGAUCCGGAUUCAGGACUAUUUUUAAGGAUUCCAAUCAACCAGAACAUUAAGACCACAAGGUAUAAGACAUGCUCAGUGGAGCUGAUAACGCGUUGAUGACGCAUGACCCCGCCUUCUUCCUUCAGAGAGAGAGCGGGUGGAGGGAGGGGCGACGACUGUAGAUUCAGCGUUUUUUCUCAUUAAACUUGGUGAAAAUACAGUUACGUUCUUUUUUGGAAAGAGUAACGACGACGGUUUAGGUGAGUUUUAUUUAGUUUCUGUCCAGUUUGAAUGAAGUGUUUUACGCUGCUCCGCUACGUACAGCUGAUCUGAACAUGAACAAAAAUACACGUGGAUGAAGCAAGCUGCACGGAGAAGGGGGGGGAUUCAUACUCGGAAUUGGCGGAG